Molecule: ribosomal RNA, 1062 nt
Filed under: Salmonella enterica subsp. enterica serovar Abony
Lineage: Bacteria; Pseudomonadati; Pseudomonadota; Gammaproteobacteria; Enterobacterales; Enterobacteriaceae
Description: bacterial SSU rRNA
Rfam family: Bacterial small subunit ribosomal RNA
Source: RNAcentral
ACACAUGCAAGUCGAACGGUAACAGGAAGCAGCUUGCUGCUUCGCUGACGAGUGGCGGACGGGUGAGUAAUGUCUGGGAAACUGCCUGAUGGAGGGGGAUAACUACUGGAAACGGUGGCUAAUACCGCAUAACGUCGCAAGACCAAAGAGGGGGACCUUCGGGCCUCUUGCCAUCAGAUGUGCCCAGAUGGGAUUAGCUUGUUGGUGAGGUAACGGCUCACCAAGGCGACGAUCCCUAGCUGGUCUGAGAGGAUGACCAGCCACACUGGAACUGAGACACGGUCCAGACUCCUACGGGAGGCAGCAGUGGGGAAUAUUGCACAAUGGGCGCAAGCCUGAUGCAGCCAUGCCGCGUGUAUGAAGAAGGCCUUCGGGUUGUAAAGUACUUUCAGCGGGGAGGAAGGUGUUGUGGUUAAUAACCGCAGCAAUUGACGUUACCCGCAGAAGAAGCACCGGCUAACUCCGUGCCAGCAGCCGCGGUAAUACGGAGGGUGCAAGCGUUAAUCGGAAUUACUGGGCGUAAAGCGCACGCAGGCGGUCUGUCAAGUCGGAUGUGAAAUCCCCGGGCUCAACCUGGGAACUGCAUUCGAAACUGGCAGGCUUGAGUCUUGUAGAGGGGGGUAGAAUUCCAGGUGUAGCGGUGAAAUGCGUAGAGAUCUGGAGGAAUACCGGUGGCGAAGGCGGCCCCCUGGACAAAGACUGACGCUCAGGUGCGAAAGCGUGGGGAGCAAACAGGAUUAGAUACCCUGGUAGUCCACGCCGUAAACGAUGUCUACUUGGAGGUUGUGCCCUUGAGGCGUGGCUUCCGGAGCUAACGCGUUAAGUAGACCGCCUGGGGAGUACGGCCGCAAGGUUAAAACUCAAAUGAAUUGACGGGGGCCCGCACAAGCGGUGGAGCAUGUGGUUUAAUUCGAUGCAACGCGAAGAACCUUACCUGGUCUUGACAUCCACGGAAGUUUUCAGAGAUGAGAAUGUGCCUUCGGGAACCGUGAGACAGGUGCUGCAUGGCUGUCGUCAGCUCGUGUUGUGAAAUGUUGGGUUAAGUCCCGCAACGAGCGCAAC